Molecule: ribosomal RNA, 253 nt
Filed under: uncultured bacterium
Lineage: Bacteria
Description: partial 16S ribosomal RNA
Rfam family: Bacterial small subunit ribosomal RNA
Source: RNAcentral
UACGUAGGGUGCGAGCGUUAAUCGGAAUUACUGGGCGUAAAGCGUGCGCAGGCGGUUUUGUAAGCCAGAUGUGAAAUCCCCGGGCUUAACCUGGGAAUGGCAUUUGGGACUGCAAGGCUCGAGUGCGGCAGAGGAGACUGGAAUUCCUGGUGUAGCAGUGAAAUGCGUAGAUAUCAGGAGGAACACCGAUGGCGAAGGCAGGUCUCUGGGCUGACACUGACGCUCAUGCACGAAAGCGUGGGGAUCAAACAGG